CAGCAGCCGCGGUAAUACGGAGGGGGCUAGCGUUAAUCGGAAUUACUGGGCGUAAAGCGUGCGCAGGCGGUUUGUUAAGACAGAUGUGAAAUCCCCGGGCUCAACCUGGGAACUGCAUUUGUGACUGGCAAGCUAGAGUAUGGCAGAGGGGGGUGGAAUUCCGCGUGUAGCAGUGAAAUGCGUAGAUAUGCGGAGGAACACCGAUGGCGAAGGCAGCCCCCUGGGCCAAUACUGACGCUCAUGCACGAAAGCGUGGGGAGCAAACAGGAUUAGAUACCCCGUAGUCCCUGUCUCUUAUACA
RNAcentral lists this ribosomal RNA (301 nucleotides) under uncultured bacterium. RNAcentral describes it as "partial 16S ribosomal RNA". It matches the Rfam family "Bacterial small subunit ribosomal RNA", at positions 509 to 808 of the family's 1533-position model. The record is from RNAcentral.